GCUGGGCAAGGUGGCUCAUGCCUGUAAUCCCGGCACUUUGGGAGGCUGAGGCAGGAAAAUCACUAGAGGCCAGGAGUUCAAGACCAGCAUGGGCAACAUAAAGAGAUCCUGGUUCUACUAUAUAUAUAUAUAAAUUAGCCAGGUGUGGUACAUCUAGCUACUCUGGGAGGCUGAGGCAGAAUUGAACCUGGGAAUUCAAGAUUGCAGUGAACUAUGAUUAUACCACUGCACUCUUGCCUGGGCAACAGAGUGAGACUCUGUCUCA
This 265-nucleotide small RNA is filed under the name Pongo abelii (Sumatran orangutan). Lineage: Eukaryota; Metazoa; Chordata; Mammalia; Primates; Hominidae. The record is from RNAcentral.